AGUGAACGCUGGCGGUAGGCCUAACACAUGCAAGUCGAACGGCAGCACAGGAGAGCUUGCUCUCUGGGUGGCGAGUGGCGGACGGGUGAGGAAUACAUCGGAAUCUACUCUGUCGUGGGGGAUAACGUAGGGAAACUUACGCUAAUACCGCAUAUGACCUACGGGUGAAAGCAGGGGACCUUCGGGCCUUGCGCGAUUGAAUGAGCCGAUGUCGGAUUAGCUAGUUGGCGGGGUAAAGGCCCACCAAGGCGACGAUCCGUAGCUGGUCUGAGGGGGAGAUCAGCCACAAUGGGACUGAGACACGGUCCAGACUCCUACGGGAGGGAGCAGUGGGGAAUAUUGGAAAAUGGGCGCAAGCCUGAUCCAGCCAUACCGCGUGGGUGAAGAAGGCCUUCGGGUUGUAAAGCCCUUUUGUUGGGAAAGAAAUCCAGCUGGCUAAUACCCGGUUGGGAUGACGGUACCCAAAGAAUAAGCACCGGCUAACUUCGUGCCAGCCGCCGCCGUAA
This 506-nucleotide ribosomal RNA is filed under the name uncultured bacterium. RNAcentral describes it as "partial 16S ribosomal RNA". It matches the Rfam family "Bacterial small subunit ribosomal RNA", at positions 29 to 523 of the family's 1533-position model. The record is from RNAcentral.